GAUGAACGCUGGCGGCGUGCUUAACACAUGCAAGUCGAGCGAAGCACUUUACUUAGAUUUCUUCGGGAUGAAGAGUUUUGUGACUGAGCGGCGGACGGGUGAGUAACGCGUGGGUAACCUGCCUCAUACAGGGGGAUAACAGUUAGAAAUGACUGCUAAUACCGCAUAAGACCACAGCACCUCAUGGUGCAGGGGUAAAAACUCCGGUGGUAUGAGAUGGACCCGCGUCUGAUUUGCUGGUUGGUGGGGUAACGGGCUACCAAGGCAACGACCAGUAGCCGGCCUGAGAGGGCGACCGGCCACAUUGGGACUGAGACACGGCCCAAACUCCUACGGGAGGCAGCAGUGGGGAAUAUUGCACAAUGGGGGAAACCCUGAUGCAGCGACGCCGCGUGAAGGAAGAAGUAUUUCGGUAUGUAAACUUCUAUCAGCAGGGAAGAAAAUGACGGUACCUGACUAAGAAGCCCCGGCUAACUACGUGCCAGCCGCCGCCGUAA
RNAcentral lists this ribosomal RNA (497 nucleotides) under uncultured bacterium. RNAcentral's name for it is "partial 16S ribosomal RNA". It matches the Rfam family "Bacterial small subunit ribosomal RNA", at positions 28 to 523 of the family's 1533-position model. The record is from RNAcentral.